CUAUAUUAAUAUUUAAAAUAAUUAUAAUUUAUAUUAAAAUUUUGUCGAUAGAAUUUUAAAAAAUUAUUAUUACUAAUAGUUAUGAUAACCAUAAAAAUGACUUCUACCAAUUAUUUUACCAUGCAGUUAUAGUCACAAGUGCCAAAUAUACUAUUUUUACUUAAUACGCAAUUUUUAUUUCAAUUUAUAAAUCAUUUCAAAUUAUUUCGCAGCCCUGCACUGAAAGAAAAAUAAUAUUCAGAAUUAUCAUGACAUAAUAAAAAAAAUGUUGCAACAUUUCAGUAACAUUUACCAUAAAAAUAAUAUGCCAAACUUCUUUUAUCAUGCCAUUACAUAGUUCCAAAUAUGAUACAUUUUUUCUCUCAGUGCAAGGCAGUGUGGAAAGUCUUUUCAAAACAAUCCACUCGAAAACUUUUCUCGUACAAGUCGCCGCGAAUUCUCCGCCGGGAACGUUCGAGACGGGGUUGCGAACUCCGUACUCCCGGUAGGUCGUCGCGUCUAUAACGUUGGUAUUCACACGCUCGUGCGUUUCUGCGCGCAGCACCGUCAGCGGCGGAAUGCAGAUGAGUACAGGUUGCACUUCGGUGCAUUACACAGGCGCGCGCGAGACGUAGGUACGCCUUGGGUCUUUUUUUUUUUGCGUUGCGUCGGAAAGAAACACGCGAAGAAUUCGAGCGCGCAGAAAAACCCGACGCUCCGCGCGACUCGUUGCGUAAGAGGAAGUUCACGAAGUUUACGUAUGCACGCGGUUAAGUGUUGCGCAUUGCGAAACCCUUGAAAAAGCUCUUCUGAUCGUCAACACGACGAGUCGCCUAUAUAGCCGUCGGUCGGUCGGUUUUAGCUGGAAUUCAGCUUGCUCAUUCCUCAUCGAUCGACGCUUGUUGCCGAUCAUAAUUCAUCCCGUUUUCCAUCCGAGGAUGCGCGUCGACAUUUCAAGGACGCAUAAAAAUUGUGUAGAAAUGACAUGGCAAACAAUGAUGAUAUUUUAUGCGCUGUGAUUCAACAUAGGAUGGUACCGAAGCUAUUGUGUGUCAUCUUUCAGAUACAAAUUCCAACUUUUUUUCCUGAUAAGCCGUCGGCUUCGGGUCAUCCAGCCGCCCUUAAUUCCACGGACGGUCGAUUCCGGGAUUCCUCUUCAAUGAUUACGCGAAUGAGGAUCAACGGUGACUUAGUGACAAUUCCUGUUGGUAACAUGCGACGACAUGCCAGCGUCCAUCGCCGCGUCCGUUCUUCCAGGAACCGAACGAGGGAGAGCCGUCCAGUUCCGCGAAAAAAGUAUGCCCGGUAUGAGACCACCGCGAGAUAUGGCGGAAGCAGCUAAAUGCUUAAACGCUCGAAAGCCAGGCUUAAAUGCCGCUGAUUGCAGUAGGAGGGAAAUGAGAGGUUGCACGAUGAACGACGAUAUGUAAUUCCGUAUCUCCAUUCUUGAAGGCGGUGGUCAACGCGACGGCGCACGUUGGUACUCCAGUAUCGAAUACUCGUCCCGCACAAUCUUUGCGCCAAUCUUCGAUUUCAUUCUUCCUCUGAGAAAUCGAGUAAUACUAACUGGAAAACAAUUUCAAUAAUUCGGAUAGACGUGAGAAAAGCGGUGCGAAGAUCAUCCUGUGAAUUGUCCCAUGAAUUAUCUCAAAUAUUUCUUUUCAAAGAUAAGCUGAAGGAAUUCUUUACCAGAAGAAGCGAAGGAAGAUAUUUAACAGCACAGAAUGAUGGGACGAAAAUUUUCCUCCGAGAUCAGAUAGGCCAUGACCAGCGCAGGGUGCAUCUGGUUUUCUAAUUGCAAUUAACGUGAAAAAAGUUAAGAGUAAAUUAAAAAUAAAAUAAUGUGAUACAAUAUUUCAUGAAAUAAAAGGGAGUGCCCUUUCUUGAUCGAAGCUUGUUGCUUAAUAUUUUUAUAUAAAUUAUUAAAUAUUUUUUAUAUAAAU
Molecule: unclassified non-coding RNA, 1922 nt
Filed under: Monomorium pharaonis (pharaoh ant)
Lineage: Eukaryota; Metazoa; Arthropoda; Insecta; Hymenoptera; Formicidae
Description: uncharacterized LOC105830227, transcript variant X1
Source: RNAcentral